This is a long non-coding RNA of Saccostrea echinata, 420 nucleotides long. RefSeq lists it as uncharacterized. NCBI's taxonomy places the organism in Eukaryota, Metazoa, Mollusca, Bivalvia, Ostreida, Ostreidae. The transcript has 2 exons. The record is from RefSeq and is a predicted model, not a curated record.
CAAAAUAAGUGACGACUGCUGCAGGAAAAUACUUACCAUUGUUGUCUAUUUGAGCGGAACGUUAAGAUUGUAAGCUAAACCAGAAUGUUUCGUUGGUUCAUCGUUGCUGCUCUCUUCGCCUUGGUGGCUGGAAACUGUACUGACUUUGCUGCGCAGUACGACUGUAUGCAGAAUGCCAAGAAGUGGUUGUCAGUCUGCUUAAAUUGUGAGAACACUAGGGUACACAAACUAGAGUGCGAACUGAAAUGUCUGAAGGUUGCUAACAGACGGCUUAUACGUUGUAUUACUUUGGAGUAAAAGCAACUACUAAAGGAAACGGAAAUGUCUGACAACAACCUAAUGAUCAACCAAUUUCGCCUUUUGUUUUUGAUGAAUUUACACUAAGGUGUACAUAUCUGAAAUAAAUCUAUUUCAGUUGUA